GGUGUCACGCCCACAUAGAUUUUGACUCGGGCCAAGGCAAUGAGAUCAAUCACAGUGAGUUAGUUUCCUAUUUUAUACACCAAUCAGCCAUGACAUUAUGACCACCUGCCUAAUCCUGUGUUGGUCCCCUUUUUGCUCCCAAAACAGCCCUGACCUUUUAAGGCACUGACUCCACUAGACCCCUGAAGCCCAAAGGAUUGAGAUCUGGGGAACUUGGAGACCAAGUCAACACCUCAAGCGCACUGUGCGUCUCAAAUCAUUCCUGGACCAUUUUUGCUUUGUGGCAGGGCACAUUAUCCUGCUGAAAUAGGCAUCAGGGAACACAGUUUCCAUGAAAACAAUGGAAACUGCAACAAUGCUUAGGUAGGUGGUACAUGUCAAAGUAAUUUCCCCAUAGAUGGCAGGACCCAAGGUUUCCCUUCAGAACAGUACCUGCAGCAUCACACUGCCUCCUCCAGCUUUCCUCUUUCCCAUCCUGUUUUCAGGUGCUCCCCAGGUCACACCCACUAACAGGUGCCAUAAUGAAGCGAUAAGAGAUUGGUGUUACUGACUUCA
Molecule: long non-coding RNA, 555 nt
Organism: Oreochromis niloticus (Nile tilapia)
Lineage: Eukaryota; Metazoa; Chordata; Actinopteri; Cichliformes; Cichlidae
Exons: 2
Source: RefSeq, a predicted model, not a curated record